Molecule: long non-coding RNA, 1378 nt
Filed under: Cyanistes caeruleus (blue tit)
Lineage: Eukaryota; Metazoa; Chordata; Aves; Passeriformes; Paridae
Description: lncRNA (ENSCCEG00000008975.1)
Source: RNAcentral
UGGGAUUGUAACCCCAGGCUGUGGUGGGAUGAGAGUCAAGCUUGGGCUGUCAGCAAGGGGACCUGCAGCAGUUCCCUGCCAGGACACAUCAGAACUCCUGAGCCGCCUUCUUCCAGUGCUGCUCUCAUUAAGGAAAAGAGCUGAUGCCACCUGUGCUGCCCUGGCUUCAGCACUGUCAGCUCUGUUCCAUGCCCAGGUUUGUGUUGAGGAAGAAGGGCCCUGCUGGAAUACUGGAAUUCUGCUCUCUUCAGGUCCCAUCACCCUGGAGCUGCCGGCUGCUCUGGCUUGUGGCUUCCCCCCAUCACAUCACUGUAGUGCCUUGAGGAGGGGACAGUGACACUGAGCCCAGGAAAUGCUGUCAGCCACAUUUCCCAGAGGGGCGGCGCUUUCUAAAGUUCAUGGUGUGAGAUUGGUCUCUGCUGCCCCUUUCAGGGAACAUCUGUAAGCGCAUCACAUCUGUAAAAAAAGGCAGGAAGGUUUAUCUGCUGGACCAAGAAGUUGUCCUGAAUUUCCUCCCCUCUCCAGAUGCCUCGUUUUUGACUGCUUCUGCUCCUGGGCAGCCACAGCUUGUGUUCUCUGGCCACCUGGGACCUGAUCUCCUUCCUCUGACACUUCCACAGAGAGCAGCUGGUGGGAGACACUUUCUGGUGAGUUAAAAUCAUGGUGAUGUAUUUUAUCCCCACAGACAAAGAGUUGUAGGUGUUUAAAGCUGAGGUAGUGAUCAUACAGAGAUCCACAGCUAAGAGUUUUACUAUGAUUUUCUCCAGAAAGUUGAGUCAAAGCUACCCAGAAGUUCAGCUCUGGUGCAGGAGCGCACCCCAGUGUUACCUCUUUAGGCACAAAGAUUUUUACAGGCAAAAAUACUCUUUGUUCUAAUAAUGAAUGGGGAAGAACAGAGAGGGAAGCAAAGGAAAAACCCAAACAAUACCAUGUUCUCUGCUGACUGUUUGGCUUAGCUCUGCAGCACAAUUUCCAUCUCUCUUCCACAUUAUUCUGAGAUUCUUUCCCAAGAGGAUCUUAUCAGUAGAUAAGUGGCUGCUUCUGAGCCAACUCUUUUCUUCUGGUUCAGUGGCUGGCACGAUGUUUGUAUGAACUCUAAACCAUCAACUUGUUGCUCUCUGAUUUUCUUUGCUGAUAUGAUCCCCACCAGCUCUCACAUUUCCUAGGGCAAGCACAAUCAAGCACAAUCAAACAAAAUUAAUCAGAACAAACAGAAUUAGUGCUCAUUCUUUCUUAACAACAUGCCUGUAGGGGUUUUUGUUUCCCUUAGCAAAUCCAUUCCAGCUCCUUUCUCUCAUGUUAAUUCACUUCCACUCUGGGUUACAGGUAACAAUGAGAGGAGAGGAUUGUGCUUUGCCUUGAGCCAAAGCUCUGCAUU